This is a non-coding RNA of Cinara cedri, 491 nucleotides long. Lineage: Eukaryota; Metazoa; Arthropoda; Insecta; Hemiptera; Aphididae. The record is from the annotation of a GenBank genome assembly.
AAACGCACAGUAUUAAAUAUAUAAUAUUCAUAAUAAAUUAAUUGUUGAAAUAUGGGUCUGAUACCCUGACGUUAAAUAUAUUAUUGCCCCCGCUGUCUAUAUAACUGCUUUUUCCUUUUCAGUAUAUACUUGUAAGUUAGAUAUGUUUGUACGGAACAUAAAUUAUACUAUUUUGAACUGAGAAGACUUUCACGGAGUAGGACGAUAGUUUUAAAAACACUUUUCUAUAAAACAUUAUAAUGGAAUACAUUAUCUCGUUGUUUACGGCCGACAGUUAUUUGUUUACACAAACAUAUUAGGAACUUUCAAUCAAACACCGCAUUAUCAGACCGUAUAUUAUUAUAAUAUACGUUAUUAUAUUACUGGUUGGGAGUGAAGAGAGAGAGAGAUGUUCGCGACGAGUCGAGUGGUAAAAAGUAAAUAACAAUAAAGAUAUUAAAACGAAAUCUUGAAAUGACACUGUAACAUUUGAUGGACAGUGUAUAAUAUUG